GGGCAGCCACCCACCCACACGGCUACACAUGGAGACACGCACGCACUGCUCUUCGGUGAAGAGAUGUUUUAGAUGCACGCAACCAAGCCCACGCAAGAGAAGGGAGCACAAGAGACUUGCGCCCCCAUUCCAGCAGUUAGGGAGACCUUCCCACUGCGCCCCGCUCCAGACUCUUCUGCGACGGGCAGAGAGCAGCAGGAUUCCUUUGCCUCAUUCCGGCUUCAGCAUUUCGAGGGGCGAGGGACAACUCUCCAGCCCGCCCCACGAAACCGCCUUUUCCUUCCCUCCCAGGCCGAGGAAAACAGAGCGGGAGGCCGAGCAGCCCCUCCAAGAGCUCCGGGAACCCGCCAGGCAGCCGCCCCCCGCCCCCUCCUCACAAAGGGGAAGCACCGCAGCCCAGUUCGGAGACCGACCACGCGCCCUCCCAACCUACCAUCUUUCCGAGUCCGAGAAAAAGAGAGAGAGACGGAUGUCUCGCGAGAUUUCGGAAAUAAUGAGCCGCAUGAUACCUCUCGUGCAGUAUUUCGAGAAGUGAAGGGGAAAGAGAGCCGAGCCAAAUACGUCUCCGUCACUUCCGCUUCUGAAUGGGGAGGGCUGCGUACUGAGAGACGCGGAACUGGUAGGCGAGGCGUGCAUUUAACACGGUCAUAAAAGAAGGGAAAGCAAGUCUUUUUGGCCUUGUAAAAAGAGCCCGAUUGGUUGAUGUCAGAGCCUGCUGUGCCCCCUCAUUGGCUGUUGGAGAAUGAACUUUUGAGGAGGAGAAAUUAAAAGUUGGCAUCCGUUUGCAGGAGCAGCAAAAGAAGAAGUGAGUGCUUGGCCAGAAAACGGAAAGCGGGUUGUUGAACAGAUCUUUAAGAACUUCUCAAAAUGCAUGUUUGUCUGCUAUUGGAACUGAAGGGAAGACUUUCUGCAAGUGUUCAUGACCUCGAGAGUAUUGGAAUAUGCUUAAACAUGAUAUAAAGUGUGGGCAUUCAGCUGGGAAUUCAGCUUCAGUGUCUUUAAAAGGACAGACAGACAGAAAGUCAACAAGUGUAGCCCACCUAGUCAUAAUGUCCACAUGGGAAGGCUACACCUGAUGAAUAUUUACCUGCCACAGUUAUAACUUCUUGUAUGUUUUGUUACCUGUUCAAUAAAUACCAAAUAAAUAUAAUAUAUGUACAUAUA
This is a long non-coding RNA of Hemicordylus capensis (graceful crag lizard), 1164 nucleotides long. RefSeq lists it as uncharacterized. The transcript has 2 exons. Lineage: Eukaryota; Metazoa; Chordata; Lepidosauria; Squamata; Cordylidae. The record is from RefSeq and is a predicted model, not a curated record.